This 580-nucleotide long non-coding RNA is filed under the name Helianthus annuus (common sunflower). Lineage: Eukaryota; Viridiplantae; Streptophyta; Magnoliopsida; Asterales; Asteraceae. The record is from RNAcentral.
GGCAGAUAGACAUUGUGGGCGAUGAAGAAGAGUAAAGGGCGACGACGAAGAACACUGAUUGCCGUCAUCAUCAUCUUCGUCGGAAGCUGGAAAGGAUUAACAAGCGACCAAGAAAAACAUUGUCGUAAAGUUCUUGAAAUCAGUUAAUCAUCUGAAGUGGCGGGACUUUUAUGGGGCAUUGCUAUGCGAUUGUUUGAUAUUCGGUUGAUUGUGGCGUUUUUGCUAUGCGACAAAUGGAGACUUGGUUCAGGGUAACAACAGAAAUAUGGGAUAGUAGACUUGGUUCAGAUGAAAACAAGCACCGUGAUCAAAUCCUGAAAGAAGCGCUUGCAUACGACAAGGCGAAUAGGACUUUUGAACAGUAGAUUUUGUGGUAGACAAUAAUAUGUGUAAGGCACUGGUUGAUGACGACACAAACAUGGUUGCUUUCUUUAUAAGUGGUUAAAUGUUUUGUUGAUGUUGGUACUUUGAAAUUUAUUUGGAUAAGUUAAAAUGUUUUUUGGUUUGUGUUUUAUUUUAUUUGGGUUUUUUUGCGGUUUAUGUAACUUGUGUACAAUGCUUUACUGGGAAUUUUAGGUCC